GAUGAAGAACGCAGCGAAAUGCGAUACGUAAUGUGAAUUGCAGAUUUCAGUGAAUCAUCGAAUCUUUGAACGCACAUUGCGCCCGCCAGUAUUCUGGCGGGCAUGCCUGUUCGAGCGUCAUUUCAACCAUCAAGCGCCUCGCUUGUGUUGGGGCCCUGCGGCUGCCGCAGGCCCCUAAAUCCAGUGGCGGGCUCGUCGUCGUACCGAGUGCAGUAAACAUCCUCGCUCAGGGAACCCGACGGGUGCCGGCCGUGAAACCCCCCCUCCUCAAGGUUGACCUCGGAUCAGGUAGGAAUACCCGCUGAACUUAAGCAUAUCAAUAACGGAGGA
Molecule: unclassified non-coding RNA, 330 nt
Filed under: soil metagenome
Description: partial contains 5.8S ribosomal RNA, internal transcribed spacer 2, and large subunit ribosomal RNA
Rfam family: 5.8S ribosomal RNA (bases 1-120)
Source: RNAcentral